UACGGAGACCCCAAGCGUUAUCGGGAAUCAUUGGGCCUAAAGGGUCCGUAGGCGGGACAAUAAGUCAGUGGUGAAAGUCUGUGGCUCAACCAUAGAAUUGCCAUUGAAACUGUUGUCCUUGAGUUAUUGUGAAGUGGUUGGAAUAUGUAGUGUAGCGGUGAAAUGCAUAGAUAUUACAUAGAACACCGAUUGCGAAGGCAGAUCACUAACAAUAUACUGACGCUGAUGGACGAAAGCGUAGGUAGCGAACAGG
This 253-nucleotide unclassified non-coding RNA is filed under the name uncultured Flavobacteriaceae bacterium. RNAcentral's name for it is "contains 16S-23S intergenic spacer region". It matches the Rfam family "Bacterial small subunit ribosomal RNA", at positions 524 to 776 of the family's 1533-position model. The record is from RNAcentral. Lineage: Bacteria; Pseudomonadati; Bacteroidota; Flavobacteriia; Flavobacteriales; Flavobacteriaceae.